RNAcentral lists this ribosomal RNA (496 nucleotides) under uncultured bacterium. RNAcentral's name for it is "partial 16S ribosomal RNA". It matches the Rfam family "Bacterial small subunit ribosomal RNA", at positions 28 to 506 of the family's 1533-position model. The record is from RNAcentral.
GAUGAACGCUGGCGGCGUGCCUAAUACAUGCAAGUCGAGCGAACAGACGAGGAGCUUGCUCCUCUGACGUUAGCGGCGGACGGGUGAGUAACACGUGGAUAACCUACCUAUAAGACUGGGAUAACUUCGGGAAACCGGAGCUAAUACCGGAUAAUAUAUUGAACCGCAUGGUUCAAUAGUAAAAGACGGUUUUGCUGUCACUUAUAGAUGGAUCCGCGCCGCAUUAGCUAGUUGGUAAGGUAACGGCUUACCAAGGCAACGAUGCGUAGCCGACCUGAGAGGGUGAUCGGCCACACUGGAACUGAGACACGGUCCAGACUCCUACGGGAGGCAGCAGUAGGGAAUCUUCCGCAAUGGGCGAAAGCCUGACGGAGCAACGCCGCGUGAGUGAUGAAGGUCUUCGGAUCGUAAAACUCUGUUAUUAGGGAAGAACAAAUGUGUAAGUAACUAUGCACGUCUUGACGGUACCUAAUCAGAAAGCCACGGCUAACUACGU